AACGAACGCUGGCGGCAGGCCUAACACAUGCAAGUCGAGCGGGGGAGCAAUCCCUAGCGGCGGACGGGUGAGUAACGCGUGGGAACGUACCCUUUGCUUCGGAAUAGCCCCGGGAAACUGGGAGUAAUACCGGAUGUGCCCUACGGGGGAAAGAAUUUCGGCAAAGGAUCGGCCCGCGUUGGAUUAGGUAGUUGGUGGGGUAAUGGCCUACCAAGCCGACGAUCCAUAGCUGGUUUGAGAGGAUGAUCAGCCACACUGGGACUGAGACACGGCCCAGACUCCUACGGGAGGCAGCAGUGGGGAAUCUUAGACAAUGGGCGCAAGCCUGAUCUAGCCAUGCCGCGUGAGCGAUGAAGGCCUUAGGGUUGUAAAGCUCUUUCGUGGGGGAAGAUAAUGACGGUACCCCCAAGAAGAAGCCCCGGCUAACUUCGUGCCAGCAGCCGCGU
Molecule: ribosomal RNA, 446 nt
Filed under: uncultured bacterium
Lineage: Bacteria
Description: bacterial SSU rRNA
Rfam family: Bacterial small subunit ribosomal RNA
Source: RNAcentral